This 638-nucleotide ribosomal RNA is filed under the name uncultured bacterium. Its description in RNAcentral is "bacterial SSU rRNA". It matches the Rfam family "Bacterial small subunit ribosomal RNA", at positions 89 to 725 of the family's 1533-position model. The record is from RNAcentral.
UGGCGACCGGCGCACGGGUGAGUAACACGUAUCCAACCUGCCGUCUACUCUUGGACAGCCUUCUGAAAGGAAGAUUAAUACAAGAUGGCAUCAUGAGUCCGCAUGUUCACAUGAUUAAAGGUAUUCCGGUAGACGAUGGGGAUGCGUUCCAUUAGAUAGUAGGCGGGGUAACGGCCCACCUAGUCUUCGAUGGAUAGGGGUUCUGAGAGGAAGGUCCCCCACAUUGGAACUGAGACACGGUCCAAACUCCUACGGGAGGCAGCAGUGAGGAAUAUUGGUCAAUGGGCGAGAGCCUGAACCAGCCAAGUAGCGUGAAGGAUGACUGCCCUAUGGGUUGUAAACUUCUUUUAUAAAGGAAUAAAGUCGGGUAUGCAUACCCGUUUGCAUGUACUUUAUGAAUAAGGAUCGGCUAACUCCGUGCCAGCAGCCGCGGUAAUACGGAGGAUCCGAGCGUUAUCCGGAUUUAUUGGGUUUAAAGGGAGCGUAGAUGGAUGUUUAAGUCAGUUGUGAAAGUUUGCGGCUCAACCGUAAAAUUGCAGUUGAUACUGGAUAUCUUGAGUGCAGUUGAGGCAGGCGGAAUUCGUGGCGUAGCGGUGAAAUGCUUAGAUAUCACGAAGAACUCCGAUUGCGAAGGCAGC